UACGUAGGGCGCAAGCGUUAUCCGGAAUUAUUGGGCGUAAAGAGCUCGUAGGCGGUUUGUCGCGUCUGCUGUGAAAUCCCGAGGCUCAACCUCGGGCCUGCAGUGGGUACGGGCAGACUUGAGUGGUGUAGGGGAGACUGGAAUUCCUGGUGUAGCGGUGGAAUGCGCAGAUAUCAGGAGGAACACCGAUGGCGAAGGCAGGUCUCUGGGCACUUACUGACGCUGAGGAGCGAAAGCGUGGGGAGCGAACAGG
RNAcentral lists this ribosomal RNA (253 nucleotides) under uncultured bacterium. RNAcentral describes it as "partial 16S ribosomal RNA". It matches the Rfam family "Bacterial small subunit ribosomal RNA", at positions 524 to 776 of the family's 1533-position model. The record is from RNAcentral.